GGACCUCAUAAAGUAUGUCGUAGUCCGGAUUGGAGUCUGCAACUCGACUCCAUGAAGUCGGAAUCGCUAGUAAUCGUAGAUCAGAAUGCUACGGUGAAUACGUUCCCGGGCCUUGUACACACCGCCCGUCACACCAUGGGAGUGGGUUGCAAAAGAAGUAGGUAGCUUAACCUUCGGGAGGGCGCUUACCACUUUGUGAUUCAUGACUGGGGUGAAGUCGUAACAAGGUAACCGUAGGGGAACCUGCGGUUGGAUCACCUCCUUACCUUAAAGAA
RNAcentral lists this ribosomal RNA (275 nucleotides) under Klebsiella pneumoniae. RNAcentral describes it as "partial 16S ribosomal RNA". It matches the Rfam family "Bacterial small subunit ribosomal RNA", at positions 1269 to 1533 of the family's 1533-position model. Lineage: Bacteria; Pseudomonadati; Pseudomonadota; Gammaproteobacteria; Enterobacterales; Enterobacteriaceae. The record is from RNAcentral.